RNAcentral lists this ribosomal RNA (216 nucleotides) under Glomeromycotina sp. Its description in RNAcentral is "partial small subunit ribosomal RNA". The stretch from base 75 to 216 matches the Rfam family "Eukaryotic small subunit ribosomal RNA", at positions 721 to 864 of the family's 1831-position model. Lineage: Eukaryota; Fungi; Glomeromycota. The record is from RNAcentral.
GGGUCAGUAGGUUGGUCGUGCCACCGGUACGUACUGGUCUCACUGAUUCCUCCCUCCUGAAGAACCGUAAUGCCAUUAAUUUGGUGUUGCGGGGAAACAGGACUGUUACCUUGAAAAAAUUAGAGUGUUUAAAGCAAGCUAACGCUUGAAUACAUUAGCAUGGAAUAAUGAAAUAGGACGAUCGAUCCUAUUUUGUUGGUCUCUAGGAUUGACGUA